GCGGUGAAAAUGGCGGUAAGAAGAUCCUGGGAGGGAAANACCCCGGUUGGCGAAAGGCGGCCCCCUGGACAAAGACUGACGCUAAGGUUGCGAAAGCCGUGGGGAGCAAACAGGAUAAGAUACCCGUGGUAGUCCACGCCGUAAACGAUGUCGACUUGGAGGUUGUGCCCUUGAGGCGUGGCUUCCGGAGCUAACGCGUUAAGUCGACCGCCUGGGGAGUACGGCCGNAAGGUUAAAACUCAAAUGAAUUGACGGGGGCCCGCACAAGCGGUGGAGCAUGUGGUUUAAUUCGAUGCAACGCGAAGAACCUUACCUACUCUUGACAUCCAGAGAACUUNAGCAGAGAUGGNUUGGUGCCUUCGGGAACUCUGAGACAGGUGCUGCAUGGCGUCGUCAGCUCGUGUUGUGAAAUGUUGGGUUAAGUCCCGCAACGAGCGCAACCCUUAUCCUUUGUUGCCAGCGGUCCGGCCGGGAACUCAAAGGAGACUGCCAGUGAUAAACUGGAGGAAGGUGGGGAUGACGUCAAGUCAUCAUGGCCCUUACGAGUAGGGCUACACACGUGCUAACAAAGGGCGGCAAAACAAAGAGAAGCGACCUCGCGAGAGCAAGCGGACCUCAUAAAGUGCGUCGUAGUCCGGAUUGGAGUCUGCAACUCGACUCCAUGAAGUCGGAAUCGCUAGUAAUCGUGGAUCAGAAUGCCACGGUGAAUACGUUCCCGGGCCUUGUACACACCGCCCGUCACACCAUGGG
This 750-nucleotide ribosomal RNA is filed under the name Enterobacter sp. LEM_BA-03. RNAcentral's name for it is "bacterial SSU rRNA". It matches the Rfam family "Bacterial small subunit ribosomal RNA", at positions 658 to 1408 of the family's 1533-position model. Lineage: Bacteria; Pseudomonadati; Pseudomonadota; Gammaproteobacteria; Enterobacterales; Enterobacteriaceae. The record is from RNAcentral.